This 492-nucleotide long non-coding RNA is filed under the name Piliocolobus tephrosceles (Ugandan red Colobus). RNAcentral describes it as "lncRNA (ENSPTEG00000005686.1)". The record is from RNAcentral. Lineage: Eukaryota; Metazoa; Chordata; Mammalia; Primates; Cercopithecidae.
AUGGAUGAUAAUUUUAUAAACAAAUCGGAUGAACAGUUAAUUAAAUCUUUGCUACAAAACAAACCAACAUUCAGUGAAGAAUUAAUUGAUUUUUAUCUUUCACAUAAUAGUUGUAAAGUUACUGAGAAAUCAUGCCUUCGAUUAAUUUCACUUAUUUUGCACAAAUCGAUAGAUAAUUUAAUAAGCAGUUCGAUGAACUUAGAACCUAACAAAACACACAGUGAUAAUGACAGCGACAAUAAUAAUUUUUCUAAAGUAACCCGUUUUAUAUAUAAAUAUGAAAACAGUGAUAAUUAUAUAUAUAUAUAUAUAUAUAUUAAUUCCUUUGCAUCUAAUAUGCAUACAUUUGAAAGCUUGAUUUUAUUCUUUAUUUUAUUUAUAAUAAUUUAUACAUAUUUAAACAUUUUCAUAUGUUUUUUUUUUUUGUUUUUUUUUUUUGUUUUUUUUUUUUGUUUUUUUUUUUUGUUUUUUUUUUUGUUUUUUUAAUUAUAG